Molecule: ribosomal RNA, 450 nt
Filed under: uncultured bacterium
Lineage: Bacteria
Description: bacterial SSU rRNA
Rfam family: Bacterial small subunit ribosomal RNA
Source: RNAcentral
AACCAGACUCCUACGGGAGGCAGCAGUGGGGGAUAUUGCACAAUGGGGGGAACCCUGAUGCAGCGACGCCGCGUGGGUGAAGGAGUGCUUCGGCAUGUAAAGCCCUAUCGGCAGGGAAGAAGCAAGACGGUACCUGACUAAGAAGCCCCGGCUAACUACGUGCCAGCAGCCGCGGGAAUACGUAGGGGGCGAGCGUUAUCCGGAUUCACUGGGUGUAAAGGGAGCGUAGACGGCGAAGAAAGUCUGAAGUGAAAGCCCGCGGCUCAACCGCGGAAUGGCUUUGGAAACUUUUUUGCUGGAGUACCGGAGAGGUAAGCGGAAUUCCUAGUGUAGCGGUGAAAUGCGUAGAUAUUAGGAGGAACACCAGUGGCGAAGGCGGCUUACUGGACGGUAACUGACGUUGAGGCUCGAAAGCGUGGGGAGCAAACAGGAUUAGAUACCCUCGUAUCG